RNAcentral lists this ribosomal RNA (403 nucleotides) under uncultured bacterium. Its description in RNAcentral is "partial 16S ribosomal RNA". It matches the Rfam family "Bacterial small subunit ribosomal RNA", at positions 28 to 526 of the family's 1533-position model. The record is from RNAcentral.
GACGAACGCUGGCGGCGUGCCUAAUACAUGCAAGUCGAACGCAGUGGGGACGGGGGAGUAACACGUGGGUAACCUCCCAUCAGAGGGGAUAACACUUGGAAACAGGUGCUAAACCGAUACUGAUGGAUGGACCCGCGGUGCAUUAGCUUGUUGGUGAGGUAACGGCUCACCAAGGCCACGCUGCAUAGGCGCCCUACGAGAGUGAUCCGCCAACCGGGGAUUUAGACACGGCCCAGGCUCCUACGGGAGGCAGCAGUAGGGAAUCUUCGGCAAUGGACGAAAGUCUGACCGAGCAACGCCGCGUGAGUGAAGAAGGUUUUCGGAUCGUAAAACUCUGUUGUUAGAGAAGCGGUAUCUAACCAGAAAGCCACGGCUAACUACGUGCCAGCAGCCGCGGUAAUUC